Molecule: long non-coding RNA, 2282 nt
Organism: Solanum stenotomum
Lineage: Eukaryota; Viridiplantae; Streptophyta; Magnoliopsida; Solanales; Solanaceae
Exons: 3
Source: RefSeq, a predicted model, not a curated record
CAUUCCAAAUAAUAAUGGAGUUCUACUUCACAUACAAAUGUGGAAAACAAAGUGGACAUCAACACACCUCUAGAGGAUGAAGAACGUAUCAUCGAAUGCGAGAAGGUCCCAAGUUGCCGUGUCGGAUGGAGGAUCAUGGCAUGCCCCUUUGCCGCUUAGCUGCCAACUAUGUGGCUAUCUCCAAGCUUUGCAGACAUCACCAUCAGUUGUUGCUGCUGGAUUGGUUAUUGAUUAUCUUAUUAUAUUUCCAGCAACACAACUGUGAGAUUAAUUGAUACGUGGUUAUGCAAGGCUGCCAUGACUCCAACUCCGCCAUUUGGACUCAUAAGGACGAUUCAAGAUAAAGCCGUAAAAGUUAUUGGAAAGAUUAGGCAACGCUUGGCCUAAAUAAAGUUACUAAUUCUACCGUUCUACUACAAGGACAUAUUAGUUGUCAUGAUUAUUGGUAAGUACUAUUUGGACACAAUUUUUUCUCAAAUAUCACACACUAAGGAGCACAUGCCUUUCAAUUAAACACAUCCUUUCAAUAACCUUUACUUUUAACAAAAGUCUGUAGUGAAAUUAACUACAAACUGCCCUCAUCCUGGAAUAACCAUAUUCAAACUUAAUCAUCAUAUAGCCGUUGUUGAGGAAAAUUGUAAAAUUCUCUUUUACUCCUUUUUCCAUAAGGUAACUCAUACUUGAUUAAGUGCCCGUUAAAAUUCUCUUUUAUUCCUUUAUCUAUAAGGUAACUCAUACUUGAUUAAGUGCCCAUUUAAAUUGACUUGUUUUAGGUGUUUUAAAGCAAAAUGCUUAUAAGAACUUAUUUCUAAGUCAAAAUAACAAAAUUAAGCCAAAGUCAAUCCAAACAGGCUUUAUAUCUUCUUUGUUUUACCCCUCCAUAGUUCCCUAAUCCUUUUUGCUCUUUCAUUAUAGGAUAGAUACUAGAGCUACCAUUCUUUAAACUCACUGGUUUAAAUAACAAAGUAGUUUAAUUUGAGAAGAAAUGAAACUACGUACCACAAGAAAAAUGGAAAAGUUGUAUGUCUGCUCAUUACAAUGAUCUCGGAGAUAAUGAUACUUUAUGCCCAAUCAGUUCUUGGAUGAUCUGCAGAAUAUCCUUAUAUGUGAGGGAAAGAACACGCAAAAAAAUAUCUUACACAAAUUAGUUUUCCAAUAAGUAUUGAGUUAAGCAUUUGACAGAUUUUACUAAAUGAAUUUUAGAAACUAAUACUCUUCUUAUAAUAGGUGUAUCUAACCAAAGACAAGAUAGUUGUCAACAAGUAGAAGCGUGAUUGUGGAAAUUUGAAGACGGAGAAGAAAAACUUCUUAGAACAAUAUAAAAGUGCUCUUCUAGGCUACAAGAAUUAUAUUUAUAAAAAGAAAAAUUCAUACAGUGUCCCCUACUUUUCAUAACAUGUGUUAUGUUAGAUGGAUAUCACUUUCAAUUUUUUUGGUAUAAUGUGCUUCAUUAGUUCUUUUCAAUUUCUCAUUGUGGCUUUUCUUUAGCGUAAUAUACAUGCUUAACCUGCCUUGAGUAGAAGAAAGAGUUGUACUAUAAAGUCCAGUGGUUUCAUUAAAUAUAAUUGAACUUUAAUAGAUCAUUGAUGAAACAUAGGAGUUGAUUUCAAUUGUUGUAGUAGGAAUGUUAAUCUUUGUGAUGAAAUUUAAUAAACACAAAUGAAAGUUCUCGAGAGAAGUACAAUAAAAAAUUUUCUUUUUCAUUGUUUCGGCUAGUUACAUUUACUAUUGAUGUUGGAUAGCUUUUAUUAUUUACAAUUUGUAGUAUCAAGUUCAGAGCACCUUACUUGAAGUAGGAUUAUAGUGUUGAGUUUGGAGUACCUUUUUAUUGUAAUUUGAAAUUUUUUUUAUCUUUUCAAGUACACAGAAAGUGUAUAUUGACACCUCCUUUUCUGUGAUGUUUUCUUAAAAUUGAUAAAGUAUUGUGUAUUAUAAUUGCAAAACUAAAACCUCAUAUUGUUCAACUGCCACAAUUGUUUCAUUUGGCCAAGUUUGAGAUCUACUGAUUUUAUAGCAACAAAUUUGUGAUAUGCAUGCUGCAAGUCCAACAAACUGUUGGAGUUGAACUGUGAUGUUAAAUUAAAGAUGUGUAUAAUGUAUUAAAAUACUAUCUGAAUCUUGACGUAUUAAACAUGUUAGGUAGAAUGUUGAAUUUAGAGAGUUAUCCUAUGUAGAAACAGUCAUUGUCUAUUAAUCACAAUAAAGGACUAACUAUUUGUUGUUUUCUUCUUUUAAUUUCAUUUAGCUUGAUAUUUUAGUUGCAGGAUGGUUAACAUUGUUUU